Molecule: ribosomal RNA, 270 nt
Filed under: uncultured archaeon
Lineage: Archaea
Description: partial 16S ribosomal RNA
Rfam family: Archaeal small subunit ribosomal RNA
Source: RNAcentral
CAGCUCUCCGAGUGGUAGGGAUGAUUAUUGGGCUUAAAGCGUCCGUAGCCGGCUUAGCAAGUCUCCUGUUAAAUUCAGCGACCUAAUCGUUGAGCCGCGGGAGACACUACUAGGCUAGGAGGCGGGAGAGGCCGACGGUAUUCUCGGGGUAGGGGUGAAAUCCUAUAAUCCCGGGAGGACCACCAGUGGCGAAGGCUGUCGGCUAGAACGCGCUCGACGGUGAGGGACGAAAGCUGGGGGAGCGAACCGGAUUAGAUACCCGUGUAGUCC